AUCCUUUUGUAGUUCAAAAGCGUGAUGACAGGGUGUUCACGCACCUGUGUCAGAUGUGCCUCCCACAAACUUUUACCUAUCUGAAG
Molecule: small nucleolar RNA, 86 nt
Organism: Callithrix jacchus (white-tufted-ear marmoset)
Lineage: Eukaryota; Metazoa; Chordata; Mammalia; Primates; Cebidae
Source: Ensembl